Molecule: unclassified non-coding RNA, 200 nt
Filed under: Preussia sp. (in: ascomycete fungi)
Lineage: Eukaryota; Fungi; Ascomycota; Dothideomycetes; Pleosporales; Sporormiaceae
Description: Preussia sp. (in: Fungi) partial internal transcribed spacer 2
Source: RNAcentral
UUAAGUUCAGCGGGUAUCCCUACCUGAUCCGAGGUCAAAAAUGGGGGGUUUGCUUCUGGGAGCCGCCCUACCGGGGCACGAGACCGCGUUUCUGCUGCGCUCGUGGCCGGCGGGGGGCCGCCAAUGGAUUUGAGGUGAGUCCACGCACGGGGCGGGACAGGCACCCAUAACCAAGCUUUGCUUGAGUAGUUAUAUGACGC